GCGAGAUUAGCUCAGUUGGUUAGAGCGUCUGAUUGUGGUCCAGAAGGUCGCUGGUUCGAACCCAGUAUCUCGCCCCA
RNAcentral lists this transfer RNA (77 nucleotides) under Candidatus Saccharimonadota bacterium. Its description in RNAcentral is "tRNA-His". It matches the Rfam family "tRNA". From Rfam's summary of the family: Transfer RNA (tRNA) molecules are approximately 80 nucleotides in length. Lineage: Bacteria; Candidatus Saccharimonadota. The record is from RNAcentral.